AUUGAACGCUGGCGGCAGGCCUAACACAUGCAAGUCGAGCGGAUGAAGGGAGCUUGCUCCUGGAUUCAGCGGCGGACGGGUGAGUAAUGCCUAGGAAUCUGCCUGCUAGUGGGGGAUAACGUCCGGAAACGGGCGCUAAUACCGCAUACGUCCUGAGGCAGAAAGUGGGGGAUCUUCGGACCUCAUGCUAUCAGAUGAGCCUAGGUCGGAUUAGCUAGCUGGUGGGGUAAGGGCCUACCAAGGCGACGAUCCGUAACUGGUCUGAGUGGAUGAUCAGUCACAUUGGAACUGAGACACGGUCCAGACUCCUACGGGAGGCAGCAGUGGGGAAUAUUGGACAAUGGGCGAAAGCCUUAUCCAGCCAUGCCGAGUGUGUGAAGAAGGUCUUCGGAUUGUAAAGCACUUUAAGUUGGGAGGAAGGGCAGUAAGUUAAUACCUUGCUGUUUUGACGUUACCAACAGAAUAAGCACCGGCUAACUUCGUG
Molecule: ribosomal RNA, 484 nt
Filed under: uncultured bacterium
Lineage: Bacteria
Description: partial 16S ribosomal RNA
Rfam family: Bacterial small subunit ribosomal RNA
Source: RNAcentral